This 91-nucleotide ribosomal RNA is filed under the name Lactarius alboscrobiculatus var. roseopurpureus. Its description in RNAcentral is "partial 28S ribosomal RNA". The record is from RNAcentral. Lineage: Eukaryota; Fungi; Basidiomycota; Agaricomycetes; Russulales; Russulaceae.
UUUGAGCGUGUCUCCCUUCUCGGGAAAYGCUCUCAACCCCACGAACCCUUGACCUCAAAUCGGGUGAGACUACCCGCUGAACUUAAGCAUA